Molecule: ribosomal RNA, 379 nt
Filed under: uncultured cyanobacterium
Lineage: Bacteria; Bacillati; Cyanobacteriota
Description: bacterial SSU rRNA
Rfam family: Bacterial small subunit ribosomal RNA
Source: RNAcentral
CGAAAGCCUGACGGAGCAAGACCGCGUGAGGGAGGAAGGCUCUUGGGUUGUAAACCUCUUUUCUCAGGGAAGAAGCUCUGACGGUACCUGAGGAAUCAGCAUCGGCUAACUCCGUGCCAGCAGCCGCGGUAAUACGGAGGAUGCAAGCGUUAUCCGGAAUCAUUGGGCGUAAAGCGUCCGCAGGUGGCGUAUCAAGUCUGCUGUCAAAGACUAGAGCUUAACUCCGUUAAGGCAGUGGAAACUGAAUGGCUAGAGUGCCGUAGGGGUAGAGGGAAUUCCCGGUGUAGCGGUGAAAUGCGUAGAGAUCGGGAAGAACAUCGGUGGCGAAAGCGCUCUACUGGACGGCAACUGACACUCAGGGACGAAAGCUAGGGGAGCG